AACGCUAGCUACAGGCUUAACACAUGCAAGUCGAACGGAUUCUGGAUUCGUCUGGAAUUAGUGGCAAACGGGUGAGUAACACGUAUCCAACCACCCUGCGACUCGGGGAUAGCCUCGUGAAAGGGAGAUUAAUAUCCGAUGUACUGUUUUUGGUGCAUGCCAUUUUCAGUAAAGUUUUUUACGGUCGCUGACGGGGAUGCGUUCCAUUAGAUAGUCGGUGUGGUAACGGCUCACCGAGUCUAUGAUGGAUAGGGGUUCUGAGAGGAAGGUCCCCCACAUUGGAACUGCGACACGGUCCAAACUCCUACGGGAGGCAGCAGUGAGGAAUAUUGGUCAAUGGGCGAAAGCCUGAACCAGCUAUGUAGCGUGAAGGAUGACUGCCCUAUGGGUUGUAAACUUCUUUUGUUCGGGAAUAACAGACUUCACUUGUGGAGUUUUGCAUGUACCGUUCGAAUAAGGAUCGGCUAACUCCGUGCCAGCAGCCGCGGUAAUACGGAGGAUCCUAGCGUUAUUCGGAUUUAUUGGGUUUAAAGGGAGCGUAGGCGGGGGGUCAAGUUAGCUGUGAAAUACGUACGCUUAACGUUCGUCUUGCAGUUGAAACUGGUUUUCUUGAGUGCGUAUGAGGCAGGCGGAAUUCGUGGUGUAGCGGUGAAAUGCUUAGAUAUCACGAAGAACUCCGAUUG
RNAcentral lists this ribosomal RNA (683 nucleotides) under uncultured bacterium. Its description in RNAcentral is "bacterial SSU rRNA". It matches the Rfam family "Bacterial small subunit ribosomal RNA", at positions 32 to 715 of the family's 1533-position model. The record is from RNAcentral.